GAUAAACGCUGGCGGCGCACAUAAGACAUGCAAGUUGAACGGACUUAAUCGAAAUAUUUAUAUUUUGAAGCGGUUAGUGGCGGACUGGUGAGUAACGCGUAAGGAACCUGCCUAUUAGAGGGGAAUAACAGUGAGAAAUCAUUGCUAAUACCGCAUAUGCCAUAGAUAUCACAUGAUAACAGUGGGAAAGGAGCAAUCCGCUAAUAGAUGGCCUUGCGUCUGAUUAGAUAGUUGGUGGGGUAACGGCCUACCAAGUCGACGAUCAGUAGCCGGACUGAGAGGUUGAACGGCCACAUUGGGACUGAGAUACGGCCCAGACUCCUACGGGAGGCAGCCGUCGGGCAUAUUGCGCAAUGGAGGAAACUCUGACGCAGUGACGCCGCGUAUAGGAAGAAGGUUUUCGGAUUGUAAACUAUUGUCGUUAGGGAAGAGAAAGGACAGUACCUAAGGAGGAAGCUCCGGCUAACUACGUG
RNAcentral lists this ribosomal RNA (473 nucleotides) under uncultured bacterium. RNAcentral's name for it is "partial 16S ribosomal RNA". It matches the Rfam family "Bacterial small subunit ribosomal RNA", at positions 28 to 507 of the family's 1533-position model. The record is from RNAcentral.